This 427-nucleotide ribosomal RNA is filed under the name uncultured bacterium. Its description in RNAcentral is "bacterial SSU rRNA". It matches the Rfam family "Bacterial small subunit ribosomal RNA", at positions 335 to 752 of the family's 1533-position model. The record is from RNAcentral.
ACUCCUACGGGAGGCAGCAGUGGGGAAUAUUGCACAAUGGGCGCAAGCCUGAUGCAGCCAUGCCGCGUGUGUGAAGAAGGCCUUGGGUUGUAAAGCACUUUCAGUCGUGAGGAAGGUAGUGUAGUUAAUAGCUGCAGUAUUUGACGUUAGCGACAGAAGAAGCACCGGCUAACUCCGUGCCAGCAGCCGCGGUAAUACGGAGGGUGCGAGCGUUAAUCGGAAUUACUGGGCGUAAAGCGCAUGCAGGUGGUUUGUUAAGUCAGAUGUGAAAGCCCGGGGCUCAACCUCGGAAUAGCAUUUGAAACUGGCAGACUAGAGUACUGUAGAGGGGGUAGAAUUUCAGGUGUAGCGGUGAAAUGCGUAGAGAUCUGAAGGAAUACCGGUGGCGAAGGCGGCCCCCCUGGACAGAUAACUGACAACUCAGAGU